Long non-coding RNA from Helianthus annuus (common sunflower), 117 nucleotides. RefSeq lists it as uncharacterized. The transcript has 3 exons. The record is from RefSeq and is a predicted model, not a curated record. NCBI's taxonomy places the organism in Eukaryota, Viridiplantae, Streptophyta, Magnoliopsida, Asterales, Asteraceae.
CAGCAAUUUGUCGGAAAAUUCGAAAUUCUAACGAUUCAGUAACCAGUUGCCAUGGCUUAAUGCUCAUCUUACAAAGAUCUGGCCUUUUGUUAACGAGAUCGAACAUGUUAUAGGUGU